AGAUGCAACAGAGUGGAGCUUUCUUAAAGAGGGGACACAAAGAGCAGAGUUAGAUUGUCAAGUCACCGGGCUUGGAAGGACAGCAGCUGCCUUUAAAGGAGACAAGCCCUCGUCUCUUCUGUGUGCACCUAAAAUUGUGCCUGGCGGAACCCAAGCUCUUAAAGCUUAACAAAACACCCCAAAAGAGCUUUGCUCCUCCUCUCCUGCAAUCUCCGUCUCCCUAACAGUCGAUCAGCCAGAGUUCGGCAAGCCAGGGAAGCAGACUUGAAAGGCUUUCAGACUUUGCUUGGAACAAAAAGCCGAGUGUCUUUUUCUUUUUUUUUUUUUUUUUUUUUUUUUUUUCCCAAAGGAGAAAUAAGACCGGCUGCACUGAAAAAAUAAAACCACUGAGAUGAAGUGGGCAGCUCUUUUGUUCUUCCUCUGGAUACUCUGGCUGGUUUGAUGUGCCCAGACCUUGGUGUCACGGAUCUCACUAAGGAACUACCCACCAGCUGAAAACCCAGAGGGGAAAAAGGGAGGAGAGAGAAGAAUGAGGACAGGUUAAACCCUUACAGUCAGAUGCCACCAAAGCAAUAAAACUCUGGCAGCGAAAUUGAGUAA
This is a long non-coding RNA of Cyanistes caeruleus (blue tit), 600 nucleotides long. RefSeq lists it as uncharacterized. Lineage: Eukaryota; Metazoa; Chordata; Aves; Passeriformes; Paridae. The record is from RefSeq and is a predicted model, not a curated record.